Molecule: ribosomal RNA, 230 nt
Filed under: uncultured bacterium
Lineage: Bacteria
Description: partial 16S ribosomal RNA
Rfam family: Bacterial small subunit ribosomal RNA
Source: RNAcentral
AAAGGGUGCGUAGGUGGCCUGUUAAGUCAGGGGUGAAAGACGGUAGCUCAACUAUCGCAGUGCCCUUGAUACUGAUGGGCUUGAAUGAACUAGAGGUAGGCGGAAUGUGACAAGUAGCGGUGAAAUGCAUAGAUAUGUCACAGAACACCAAUUGCGAAGGCAGCUUACUAUGGUUUUAUUGACACUGAGGCACGAAAGCGUGGGGAUCAAACAGGAUUAGAUACCCCUGU